UCCCUGGUGGUCUAGCAGUUCAGGAUCAAGCGCUCUCGCUGCCGUGGCCCCGGUUCGAUUCCCGGGCAGGGAA
Molecule: non-coding RNA, 73 nt
Organism: Pangasius djambal
Lineage: Eukaryota; Metazoa; Chordata; Actinopteri; Siluriformes; Pangasiidae
Source: the annotation of a GenBank genome assembly